UUGACUGCGAAGUCUGGCCUGGAGGAAGCCGGACGCACCAGAAGCAGACACUUCGAAGGAAAACUUCGCUGAUGAACAAAAACAUCAUAUGAGGCGUAGGCUGGAGGCGAGUUGGCAUUUAUGCCCCUUAGGUACAAGACGACGAAGCCAUGUUAUCUAACGGCCAUCGUAAAUGAUGCAGGAGCUAGGGAGAAGCAGAAAG
Non-coding RNA from Neptunomonas antarctica, 202 nucleotides. NCBI's taxonomy places the organism in Bacteria, Pseudomonadati, Pseudomonadota, Gammaproteobacteria, Oceanospirillales, Oceanospirillaceae. The record is from Rfam.